This 608-nucleotide ribosomal RNA is filed under the name uncultured Arcobacter sp. RNAcentral's name for it is "bacterial SSU rRNA". It matches the Rfam family "Bacterial small subunit ribosomal RNA", at positions 69 to 692 of the family's 1533-position model. The record is from RNAcentral. Lineage: Bacteria; Pseudomonadati; Campylobacterota; Epsilonproteobacteria; Campylobacterales; Arcobacteraceae.
CGGAUAUUAGCUUGCUAAUAUUGUCAGCUAAGUGGCGCACGGGUGAGUAAUAUAUAGUUAAUCUGCCCCAAAGAAGAGAAUAAUUGUUGGAAACGACUUGUAACGCUCUAUAUGCCUUUAUUACAUAAGUAAGCAAGGGAAACAUUUAUGGCUUUGGGAUGAGACUGUACGGUAUCAGCUAGUUGGUGAGGUAAUGGCUCACCAAGGCUAUGACAUCUAACUGGUUUGAGAGGAUGAUCAGUCACACUGGAACUGAGACACGGUCCAGACUCCUACGGGAGGCAGCAGUGGGGAAUAUUGCACAAUGGAGGAAACUCUGAUGCAGCAACGCCGCGUGGAGGAUGACACAUUUCGGUGCGUAAACUCCUUUUAUAUGAGAAGAUAAUGACGGUAUCAUAUGAAUAAGCACCGGCUAACUCCGUGCCAGCAGCCGCGGUAAUACGGGGGGUGCAAGCGUUACUCGGAAUCACUGGGCGUAAAGAGCAUGUAGGCUGGUUUGUAAGUUGGAAGUGAAAUCCUAUGGCUUAACCAUAGAACUGCUUCCAAAACUGCAGACCUAGAAUAUGGGAGAGGUAGAUGGAAUUUCUGGUGUAGGGGUAAAAUCCGUA